This 3240-nucleotide long non-coding RNA is filed under the name Marmota monax (woodchuck). The record is from RNAcentral. Lineage: Eukaryota; Metazoa; Chordata; Mammalia; Rodentia; Sciuridae.
GCCCUGACGAGGUCAUUUUCUACCCUGCCAGAGUCGGGAAGAGUGGCCCAGAAUCCAGGCAGCUGGCCAAAGACCGAGGGGCCUGCCGCGGUGGCGCUCGCCUGUAAUCCGAGCGGCUUGGGAGACCAAGGCAGGAGGAUUGCAAGUUCAAAGCCAGCUUCACAACAUAGGGAGGCCCUGUCUUAAAAAGCAAGCAAACGAGCAAAACCCCGAGGGCUCCAUCCGGAGCCCCGCGCAUUUCUUGACCAGGUAGCACCCGGGAUGUCUUCAGUUCUUGGCAGCUGUAAGAUCUCUGCAGAACAGUGGAAUUACGGUUUGCCUGUUCUGCUCUUGGCCUCAGGCUCGCAGCUGACAGAGGUCCGAGGCCGCAUCUUCCCGCUUCCUCCUGCGGCAUCGCGCGCCCGGAGCUCGGCAGGGACCCGCUGCGGCUGCGUGUCCGCUCAGAGCACCCUGGGGUCAGGGUGGACGCGGAAGCACAGGACCACAGGUGUGAGUGUGCACGGGUGCGCGUAUGCACGGGCGGCCACGGGACACCGGCUGCGCUGGGCACCUGCUCCGUGCGCGGCGACGGUCAGCUGUGCCAGGGCGCCCCCUGCCGACGACGCUGCCCUCGCGGCCCGAGCCCUUACCUGCCGCGCUCCUCCGGAAGCGACUGGAGCGUUUGAAGUGGCCCAGGGCGAGCCGUGCACGCACCAGGUGAGCUCUGGGCGGCGUGCGCGUGCCUGGCUCACCCGCAGCUCCCGCCUGCCUGGGGCGCGGAAAGUCAGGGUUUUACUGGGAAGGAAGUGUAGCCCGAGGCCUGUCUGGAGUUUGGAAGCGUCUGGCUCUCCUCCUCGGGGCUCUGGAGAGAAAGCCCGGAACCCUGCGUUCCUGCAGGUCCCGUGCAGACACCGCUAGUGUCUUCUACGGUGGGCGGCAGAGGCAAAGCCAGGGCUGAUCCUCGGAGAGGAGGCGCCCUCCUGUCCACGGGCCUGGGGAGGGAGGAGGUGAAGUGGCCGCCAGACAUCGCUGGUGCUUGUGCUGAGAAGGCAAGUCUGUUUCAGCACUUCCGAAAUACUAGGGGGCAGUUUUGUCAACGUGCAGAUUUUACCUCUGCCUCUGGACGGGUGCUUGCUGGAGAGGGAGAAGAGGAAACCUGGGGAGCGGAGAUCAAUGGGAAUGCCAAACUUCUCUCAGGCUCGGACUCCAGAUGUCCUCGUGCUGCCCCGUGAGCCGUCCCACCCCGUCUGAUGCAGCACCUGAAGGGUCCGGACGUGCCACCCUUGGAAAAUGGUACUUUGCAUGCUGGAUAUUUCAAACGGGAGGGAUUUGAGGAAGGCAGGUGCGGAAGGUCUCUCUGACCACCAGGUUGUAAGACCUUUAGGUGAGAGAUGCCCUCCCUCAACCUGGAGGAAAGGAGCAGCCUGUCUCCAAAGACUGAGGAGGAGGAGGAGUGGUGCCUAAGCAGGGACCUCAGUUCCCAGCGAGCCACCCUUAGCCCGUCCUUUUCUCCAUCCUGUCCCAUUUAUUCCCCAUGACUUUCCACUCCUCGUACCAGGGGAGGAGGGGUCUUUCUUGGUUCAUUGUGGAGGCUUCCCUGUCACCUAAAACUUAUUCAAUAGAUAGAGUGUACCUUAAAUGAAUGUGUAUGCUUUUGUUUUAAUAUGUCUUUUGUUAUCAGGGCCCCAGCAUGAACCUUGGAUGGAGAGAAGAAAGACAGGUUUUCUUUCUGACCCAACUCCCCAUGUGACCUGGGGGACUCUGCUUCCACACUCCACAGCAGCUCCAGGCCCACCCUCCUGUGCCCACCCUCACUGAAGUCACCAGGACCUUUGCAGGGGAGGGGAAUAUUCAGACACUCAUGGAUGUGUUUCUUAAAAACGUGUGGAAGUGUGGUCAUGUUUCCAUCAGGCUUUUCCAACGUGUCGCCAAUGAAAUAUCUGACUGCUGUGCCCCGUGGGGUUUAAUGUGUUAGACUGCACAGCUUGGUUACUUUUAGGGAUGCACAGGAUGUAUUAUAGCAGGCUGAACACCACACACACACACACACACACACACACACACACACACGUGCGUGCGCAGGACGCGGAGUCCAAAUUAUGAGAACUCUGGUAAUUCAAGCUUUGCUACAACCUCUCUGCUCCAAGAACAUAGCUAUGAGAUCAAAUUCAAAAAGAGAAUAUUAAAAAAAGAAGACCAGUGUCUUCUGGGUCAGAAAAAAGACACAAGAACAGGGCAUCAGCAGGGCUGAAGUUGAGGUCUCCCCAGGAACUGUAAGCAGGAUGGUACAAAAGGUGAAACUAAUAAUAGCCAAGUUAGGAGCAUUUCGGGAAGCACAGCACGUCCGCAGUGCCCCUAACAGAGACCUGAGAUGAUGGCACGUGGGCUUACCUUAGUCCAUAGAGAGCUGAAAUGGCAAGAGCUAUGUCCAUCAGCAUGACGGUGCCCAAAAUACUACAGUGGGGCAGCCACUUGAGAAGGAAAUAAAGUGGGACACCAUUAAUUCAACAUUUAAAAACAGUAGAUUGGUAGUUGGCCAAUUAUUGCCUGAGGACCAAAUUCAACCUGCUGCCUGUUUUUAUAAAGUUUUAUUGGAACAGAGCAUUCACACUUUGCCUGUAGCUGCUUGCACACACAGGGGCAGAGUCAGACCAUCAUGGCAGAGACCAUUCGGCCAUAAAACCUGAGAUAUUUACCUCUGGUUCUUUGUAGAAUAGGUUUGCCCACCUCCGUGACAUACUAUUUAUGGACGUGCUUAUACACACACACACACACUCUAACACAGAUUUGUGUUGCAGAUAUAAAAAUUAAAAUAUGCUUUUGAUUAAUACAAACUUUGAGAGAGAGGAAGGAAAGUGGGGCAAUGUAGGUGGUCUUUUCUCAUUGGAAAAAAAUUUCUUAAGCAAAUGUGGUAAAGUAUUGAUUUGCCUAAAAUGGGUAAUGAGUAUACAAUUAUUUGUUAUAUUUUCUAUACCUUUGAGUAUUUUUAAAAUAUUUCACAAUAAAGAGUAUUGAGACGGUAAAAGAAGAAUUAGGUUGAUCUGCGCAUCUGAACUUGAAUGGUCCCAGCUGUAUUCUUAUGAGACAAUGUCAAGGUGCAAUGCUGUGGGUCCCUCGUGCUGGAGUUUGUGUGGACAGAGGGAAGCGACCCCUCUUUACAAAAAGAGUAACUUUAAUAAUACCAUUUUGUGUUUUUGGAAUUUUCUACCAUGUGAAUGAAAAAACAAUAUUAAAAGAAUGCCUAGGAAAGUAGCACUUGUG